RNAcentral lists this ribosomal RNA (439 nucleotides) under uncultured bacterium. Its description in RNAcentral is "partial 16S ribosomal RNA". It matches the Rfam family "Bacterial small subunit ribosomal RNA", at positions 338 to 795 of the family's 1533-position model. The record is from RNAcentral.
CCUACGGGUGGCAGCAGUGGGGAAUAUUGCACAAUGGGGGAAACCCUGAUGCAGCGACGCCGCGUGAGUGAAGAAGUAAUUCGUUACGUAAAGCUCUAUCAGCAGGGCAGCAAAUGACGGUACCUGAGUCAGAAGCCCCGCGUAACUACGUACCAGCAGCCGCGGGAUUACGUAGGGGGCAAGCGUUAUCCGGUUUUCCUGGGUGUAAAGGGAGUGUAGACGGUGCGCAAAGUCGGAGUGAAACGCCGCAGUUUAACCGCGGAAGUGCGUUGGACAAUGGCGAACUAGAGUGCGGGAGGGGUAAGCGGAAUUCCUAGUGUAGCGGUGAAAUGCGUAGAUAUUAGGAGGAACACCGGUGGCGAAGGCGGCUUACUGGACCGUAACUGACGUUGAGGCUCGAAAGCGUGGGGAGCAAACAGGAUUAGAUACCCCUGUAGUC